GACGAACGCUGGCGGCGUGCUUAACACAUGCAAGUCGAACGGAAAGGCCCUGCUUUUGUGGGGUGCUCGAGUGGCGAACGGGUGAGUAACACGUGAGCAACCUGCCCUUGACUUUGGGAUAACUUCAGGAAACUGGGGCUAAUACCGGAUAGGAGCUCCUGCUGCAUGGUGGGGGUUGGAAAGUUUCGGCGGUUGGGGAUGGACUCGCGGCUUAUCAGCUUGUUGGUGGGGUAGUGGCUUACCAAGGCUUUGACGGGUAGCCGGCCUGAGAGGGUGACCGGCCACAUUGGGACUGAGAUACGGCCCAGACUCCUACGGGAGGCAGCAGUGGGGAAUAGUGCACAAUGGGCGGAAGCCUGAUGCAGCAACGCCGCGUGCGGGAUGACGGCCUUCGGGUUGUAAACCGCUUUCGCCUGUGACGAAGCGUGAGUGACGGUAAUGGGUAAAGAAGCACCGGCUAACUACGUG
This 468-nucleotide ribosomal RNA is filed under the name uncultured bacterium. RNAcentral's name for it is "partial 16S ribosomal RNA". It matches the Rfam family "Bacterial small subunit ribosomal RNA", at positions 28 to 507 of the family's 1533-position model. The record is from RNAcentral.